UAACAUCUAACUUGGUAGGAGAGCGUUCUCUGCGGGGUGAAGCAUGAGCGGAAGCGCGUGUGGACUUCAGAGAAGUGAGAAUGCCGGAAUGAGUAGCGAGAAUUAUGUGAGAAUCGUAAUGGCCGAAAGCCUCAGGUUUUAGAAGGAAGGUUCGUCCGCUUCUAGUUAGCCGGGAGCUAAGGCGAGGCCGAAAGGCGUAGCCGAUGCACAUACGGUAGACAAUCCGUAGCUGCCGAAAGAUUUAAAUUAGGGGACACUCUGAAAGGGUACAUCCCGGGCGUUGGUUGACCCGGGCGUAAGGGAGCGAAUUAUUCGCGAAGUGUGCUUGGACGGAGGCGAGAAAAGCCUAAUGUAUAUCUGCGGCACCCGUACCGCAAACCGACACAGGUAGGUAGGAGGAGAACUCUAAGGCCAACGGGAGAAGAGUUGUUAAGGAACUCGGCAAAUUGACCCCGUAACUUCGGGAAAAGGGGUGCUCAUAGCAAUAUGAGCCGCAGUGAAUAGGCCCAGGCAACUGUUUAUCAAAAACACAGGUCUCUGCUAAAUCGAAAGAUGAAGUAUAGGGGCUGACGCCUGCCCGGUGCUGGAAGGUUAAGAGGAGGAGUGCAAGCCCCGAAUCGAAGCCCCAGUAAACGGCGGCCGUAACAAUAACGGUCCUAAGGUAGCGAAAUUCCUUGUCGGGUAAGUUCCGACCCGCACGAAUGGCGUAAUGAUCUGGGCACUGUCUCAACAGCUCACCCGGCGAAAUUGUAGUACCGGUGAAGAUGCCGGUUACCCGCGACAAGACGGAAAGACCCCAUGGAGCUUUACUGUAACCUGAUAUUGGGUUUCGGUAUUUUAUGUACAGGAUAGGUGGGAGACUAAGAAACAAGGGCGCCAGCCUUUGCGGAGUCAACCUUGGGAUACCACUCUUAAAAUACUGGAAUUCUAACCUGCGGCCGUGAAUCCGGUCGGGGGACAUUGUCGGGCGGGCAGUUUGACUGGGGCGGUCGCCUCCGAAAGAGUAACGGAGGCGCUCAAAGGUUCGCUCAGCACGGACGGAAACCGUGCUUUUGAGUGUAAACGCAUAAGCGAGCCUAACUGCGAGACUGACGGGUCGAGCAGUAACGAAAGUUGGAGUUAGUGAUCCGGCGGUAUGUGAGUGGAAAUGCCGUCGCUCAACGGAUAAAAGCUACCCUGGGGAUAACAGGCUGAUCUCCCCCAAGAGUCCACAUCGACGGGGAGGUUUAGCACCUCGAUGUCGGCUCAUCACAUCCUGGGGCUGUAUUCGGUCCCAAGGGUUCGGCUGUUCGCCGAUUAAAGUGGUACGCGAGCUGGGUUCAGAACGUCGUGAGACAGUUCGGUCCCUAUCUGUCGUGGGCGUAGGAAAUUUGAGAGGAGCUGUCCCUAGUACGAGAGGACCGGGAUGGACGCACCUCUGGUGCACCAGUUGUUCUGCCAAGGGCAUAGCUGGGUAGCUACGUGCGGAUUGGAUAAACGCUGAAAGCAUCUAAGCGUGAAGCCAACCUCAAGAUUAGAUUUCCCAUAGCAUAAGCUAGUAAGGUCCCCGGUAGACUACCGGGUUGAUAGGCUGCAGGUGUAAGCGCAGUGAUGUGUGUGCCAGGCAGUACUAAUAGACCGAGGGCUUGACG
RNAcentral lists this ribosomal RNA (1631 nucleotides) under metagenome. RNAcentral describes it as "bacterial LSU rRNA". It matches the Rfam family "Bacterial large subunit ribosomal RNA", at positions 1214 to 2925 of the family's 2925-position model. The record is from RNAcentral.